GCCAGGCACAGUGGCGCAGGUCUGUAAUCCCAGCGACUCCGGAGGCUGAGGCAGGAGGAUUGCGAGUUCAAAGCCAGCCUCAGCAACUCAGUGAGACCCUGUCUCUA
RNAcentral lists this small RNA (107 nucleotides) under Marmota monax (woodchuck). Lineage: Eukaryota; Metazoa; Chordata; Mammalia; Rodentia; Sciuridae. The record is from RNAcentral.